UGGCGCUAUUCACUCGAGGAAUGGCGGAUUUCUUUUUGGUAGUGUGUAUGUCGGUAGUCUAGUUCUUGGCUGAAGAAAAGUGUGCACAUUUAGUUCGUAUCUUGCAUUAAUCUAUACCCGCGCUGUUGGAACAGUGUAUUCAAAAUGGAGAACAGAAUCAAACGAGUGCGAAUUGUGGGGAAAGGACACGCUUCAUGUUUUGAACGUCUAUUGCUAGAGUGGUAUCGGCGAGGGAGUUUCGUCGAUGUAAUUCUAACGUGCGUUGGUAGUCCGGAAAAUCAUUUGGAUGAUGAAGCCGUGGCGCGCCAUAUACCCGCAAACCGAAGUGUAUUGGCAGCAGCUAGUCCAGUGUUUGCCGCCAUGUUUUGUGAAAACCCACUCGUAGAAGAAGAUGUUCGAAUCUCCGUGGUUGGCUACUCAUACACCUCUCUUCGUUCCAUUAUUGAAUAUAUUUACACAGGAUCGCUCGAAUUUUCCGAUUGUGAUAGGGAGCAAAUCAAAGAAAUACUCAGAGAUUUCCUUAUCCCGAUUCCAAACGCGAAAAAAAUCUCGAAAACUCAAGAAGAAGAAACUGUAAUGGACGUUGAAACUUGCGAAUCCAUCACCGAAAGCAGAAGUCAGAUUACAACAGAAAUUGGGGUGGAGAACCGAGGCAACAUCACAUACGAAACGAACACCGUAGCAAGAAACGAAGAAGAAGAAGAAUAUGGAAUUCAAAUAGUUUCAUCCGUCUCUUUGUCAUCCAUAGAGGAUGUCCAAGUGAUACCACCAACCAAAACUUACCGUGCGUGUAAGAAGAGGCCAUUUGCUCCAAAAGUGUUUACCCCUGGCAUGAAGAAUCAUGAGCUAGCUUCAGGUUCUUCCCGGAUAAACGCUCUGCGACCAAAAAGUAAAGUAAACCGCCACGACUCUGAGGAACCAUCGUUUGCCUUAGGAAACAAAACAACAACAGUAUGCGAUUUUCCAAAACUACCAAACGUCUUGGAAUCGACAAUACAGAAACCAUUGAAUGCACACGUCAACACACGAAAUUGCAACCUACCUGUAUCAGAACCAGUCAUUAACCAAGUUGAGCCAACGAAUACUCCUCAACGCAAUGUAAUUCGUAUAUUUAAUCGAAUGGUCGAAGCCCCGCCUUCUUCAAAGAAACAAACAACAAUAGAGCCCCUUCCUAUCCCGUUUUAUCAAUUCGGGCUAUCCAAGAGUUUUGACGAAAAGACGGUCAUCCAACUUGAAAGUGUUUUGGUACCACCGGUGAAAAUAGAUAUUCCAAUCAUGAAAAACGGUCGGAGUGUUUUCACGGUGAGUGAGGAAAUGGCCAGAGCUUCUUAUUACCGCAAUGUCAUAUCUUCUCUGUACGAUGUUCCGGGAACGUACACUUUGUAUCGAGAAAGGCCAACCCCAAACAUAGAUACAAUACCAUUCUAUGAACCUGCUGAAUCCCAAGUUUCCAAAACGCACAUCUUUGUUCCAUCCUAUCUGGAGAAAAAACCCUUGUUCACCUACCAAGACAGGCCUAGUACGAGGGUCCAACGUCCGACGCAAACCAGCAUUUCUCUAUCGGGAAUCAGAAUCGAGUCGGUCCAUCAAGUCAACGGUAAAGUACAUAUUUGUACGGUGGGAGAACCGCUUGUGAAUCAAGCAUCAGAAACUUUGUUUGAGGACUACCCACUUUCUUACCUCAACCCGGAUCAAGUAGUUUCUCGCCUUUCAUUGGAACACAAUUAUUCAUUUGGCGAAACACCGUUGCCUACCGAUAGCGAGUGCUCCAAUCGGAGUGAAUUGGCUAACGAUCUAGAAGACUACAAAAGUGCCAUACAGCUGGCAAUCAAUCAGCAACGUCGCAAAAAUAGGUUGAGACAUCGUAUUCAAUCUUAUUCAAAAGAAGUUUCCACCCUAAAACGCAAAGCCGUGGAGUUGCUUAGCAUAUGUCACAUUAUGCAAGAUGAAGCUCAUGAAAUGGAUCCCGACUACCAGCGACCUAAAAGGAAAACAAGCGAACGGCCAAAAAUCGGGCAAACCAAUGAUGCGGAUGAGAAAGUCCCUUGCACAGUUUGCAAUAAACUAAUCAAGAAAAGUUGGCUCAAGCAACACAUGGUUAUUCUGCACACGGAAGAAAGAAACCACUUGUGCGAUGAAUGUGGCAGAACGUUUGUCAUUAAAGCUCAGUUGCGAGCCCAUCAGCUACGUCAGCACAAGGCUGUACCGGGUAAUCACCUGUGUGAACAGUGCGGUAGGUCAUUCCGAUUCGCUCGUUAUUUAAAUCGCCACAUGUCGUUACAUUCGAGCGAGAAGCCCCACGUUUGCCGGUAUUGUGAUAAAGCUUUCCGACUGAAACCCGUGCUGAUUAAGCACAUUCGCACUCACACUGGGGAGAAACCGUACAAAUGCACGGUUUGCGGAAGAUGCUUCAGACAGAGGACAACUUAUGCGACCCACCUCAAAGUUCACGAGAAGAGACAAGGGGCUGGUGUAACAGAAGGAAAUUCCUCUGGGCUGGGGCAACUUCCUCGCCUGAAAUGUGAUUUUUGCUCUAUGACUUUCAAGCUGGAUCUCUUCUUAAUGCUUCACCGAGCUAAACAUACAGGAGAGACACCUGCAUUGCCUUGCCCUACCUGCAAAGAUACCUUUCCGUCUAUUAAGGAGCUCACUCUUCAUCGCAAGGGCCAGCACCCAGAAUCGGUAUAUGCGUGCCAAAUCUGUCCCAAAGUCUUUACAAACAAGGCCAAUUUUGAUUUCCACGUGCAUAAACAUUCAAAUCCUGAUGCUGUCAAGAAAAAAUAUCCAAAAGUGGAUCCUGUCGAUGCGGGUCCUGUUGGCUGUGACUUUUGCGAUAAAGUUUUCAGAUCGCGUUCCGCUCGUGACUACCACAUUAAGGGAAUUCAUUUAGGUGAUAAAUCGCUCAAGUGUCAAUAUUGCGAUAAAACCUUUUCACAUAAGCCAUCGUUGGAGCAGCACAUGCGGACGCACACGGGCGAGAGGCCUUUUAAAUGUGAUCAGUGCCCAAGUUCAUUUAAACAGCAACAGCAUCUAACAGCCCAUAUGGUUGUUCACACGGGUGAGCGGCCAUUCAGCUGCGACCAUUGUGAUAAAACGUUUCCUCACAAGACUACCCUGUAUGCUCAUUUACGUAUACAUACGGGCAAAAGGCUGAUGUGUACGCAUUGCCGGAAAGUUUUGCCUAGCCUAACACAAUUGAUGCGCCACGAAGAAAAUUGCUCGCUCAAUACCAAUGAAUCUUCCGUUGAAUAACGGAUAUUUUCAUCAUUGCUAUACGCCAAAAAGUUAGGUUUGCACCCCGUUGACGGAUAGUCCUUUUAUCGCGUGUAUACAUAGACUGAGACAACAGUUACCGGAGAAAAAAAACGAGAAGAGGGUGAGGGGAUUUUCAUGUGACAAGUUCCCAAAGCUGUCAAAAUACGUUAUUGAGCUGCCUUUCCCUUUUCGCUUCUAAAAGCACAGUCUUAUCUCGAGUUAGCAGACGCUGCUCUGUGUGUACCAAAUAACAUCGUCGGCGUCGCACGCGGCGUCGUUGACAAAGCAGCAACAUUCUGUAUUUUGAAAAGAAUUGGAUCACCAACUAUAAUACAGUUGCAUUCUACGUUUGGAUUCAAUUUGUCCCCAAAUUCUGAAUCGAUUCCGUGUUUUAUUGAUCACAAAGCUUCAACAUUAUGAUAUGACAUUCUAGAAAAAUAAGGCGACAUUACUUUAAUGACAUCAGUGGAACCACUAUCCCUCUAGUGUAGGCGAGAUGGGGAUCAAGACGAAA
Daphnia carinata is the source of this 3769-nucleotide RNA transcript. It is a transcript of the gene named zinc finger protein 761-like, with no coding region annotated. The record is from RefSeq and is a predicted model, not a curated record. The transcript is spliced from 11 exons. NCBI's taxonomy places the organism in Eukaryota, Metazoa, Arthropoda, Branchiopoda, Diplostraca, Daphniidae.